Non-coding RNA from Coturnix japonica (Japanese quail), 5859 nucleotides. The record is from RefSeq and is a predicted model, not a curated record. Lineage: Eukaryota; Metazoa; Chordata; Aves; Galliformes; Phasianidae.
AAGUAAAGACUGUAUACCAAUUUAAUUAUAUAUUGUAUACCAAUAGUAAAGAUUCUAUACCGAAGACUGUAUACCAAUAGUAAAGAUUCUAUACCGUGAGGGACAUUCCCAGGAAACCAUUAUGAAUCUUAUAGCUGGGUUUGUGUACAUAUCUACCUUUAAGAGUAAAAUGCUGAUAUAGAUAGGUUCGAAAUGAAUUGUCUAAUAGUAAGAUGGAAGGUUGAGUGCCUAGCUCUUGACACCAGCAGAGACUGUGGAUUCUGUGAUGGCCAAAGCAUCAUAGCACAGCUAAAAACCAAACAACUGGUGUUCAAGGAGCAUUUAGAUGUUGUACUAAGGGACAAGGGAGAUACUGGUGGUAGGUGGACAGCUGGACUGGAUGAUCUUGGAGGUGUUUCCAACCCUGGCAAGUCUAUGAUUCUAACUAAAAACAUGAUAAGUGGUACUGAGGCAGAUAUUAAAGAAAUUGGCUUUAAGGUCUCUGACUGUGAAUGGGGAUUGGGUCUCUUUUAUUUCUACUGCUUUUAAAUUUUUAAUUCAUACACAAUGCACUGAUAGGUGAAGAAUUUCCUAAUUUAUUUUAGAAAACUUAAAGUGUGGUCAGCCAGGACUAUUCUAUUGGAGGAAAGAAAAGGUGAAAUAACAUUUCCCCAGAACAGAAACAAACAGAAAUCUGAAAGUAGAAAGAUAUAGAAGUAUUUGAGAAAAACAUAAAAUACUGAGGCUUGGAUAACUCUUAUAAAGCAGAAGAUGCCUGCUAAAGGUGUUGGAUCCAUUACUACUGGAGUGAGAACAAUGCUCUGUAUGGCGUAGAUGUCCCUUAUCAGUGCUUACAGUGUAUUUCUUAAGGUAUAAAUUUUUAACAGAAGCUCAAGCUGCAAUAAAUCUUAAAAGGUAAGCAACAAGAUUUGUGACUCCCUAACAACAUUCCCCAUUGACCCUGAAGAUUUCUUGACUGGAAGCUGAUGGAGAAUUAAAGCUGCUUUAAAAAUAGCACUGACUGCCUUCACUUGCUCUCCUCCAUGGGAGAAUUCUGCCAGCGGUGGCUAAAGGAUGAGGGAAAGCGGUAAGAGACGGAUAUUCUUUGUUCCAAAAAUCCUUUGUGCCACUAGGGCAGAGGUUUCUGUUCAUAAUUUAAGGCCCUGCUAAGAAGUGUGGUAGAGUGUUAACGCUUCUGUGGUUUUAACAAAGCCUAUUAAAAUCAUGUUUGCAUAUAACUGAUUUCUGAUGUUUUUCAGAAGUACCUUUCCAAGUGAAGACAAUCCUUUCAUGGAAACAAACAAAACAUCCACUUAGAGAGAGUUUUCUGUAAAUAUAUGCUAAGAUGUUGCCACAUUAUAAACAAUUAUACUGGAUAACUGAUAGUUUUAUACAUAACCAAUGCUCUGACAGAGCUAUACGGAAAUUGAACAAAACCUGUCAGGAAGUAAACAGAAGCAACUGUUUCAUCACAAUAGAAAACUGAACAAGAUAUGUUUAGCUCAUAAGGGUAACCUAACAUUUGAGCUGCUGAAGUAUGAUUUGAUAGAGCUGAUUUUGAUUUCAAAUGAAUAACUUAAAAUCUUUUAGAAGACUGCAUAUGUAGAUGAACUCUCAGUCUAAACAUUUGGCUAAAAACAGUCCACCUCAGAAGAGAGGUGGGUGUGAGUGCACCAAACACCUGGUUUUGAAAGCAAAUUGCUUUGUUAAAUUAUGGAUUUGUUAUUGAAUAUAAUAUACAUAUUUUACAAAUGUAUAAGUUCCUACUAUUUAAUACUUUGAAUUGAUGUUAAGGAGAGAUCUUCAUAAGAGGCAAAAACACCUAGAAUUCAGUUGUAAAAAUGCCUCUUGUGCCAGUUAUCUCCAGGACUUGUUCCAUUUGUCUUGAGGAGGCUGAGUGGUGUGUGUAAGUCCAUCAGUUUCAAGGGAUUUAGAAUAACAGAACCCAAGUUAGAAUGGACCCCAAAGCUGGUCCAAAAAACAGGUUGUUUCAGUGAAGACUGCAUAUGUGUAUAUACUUGAAGCAUACAAAACAUUUAGAAACAUUAGGGCAAAAAAAACCAACAAAUAUUUCUUUAAUGUGGCCUGAACUCAAGAUACCUUUUCUUCUUCCUAGGGUUGUUGAAAUAAGAAACUUGAUCUCUAGGAAACCUGAUUUUUAGGAUGCCACCAUGGUGGCAGAGGAAAUCAAAGUCUGCUGGUGUGGAAAAUUUGUAUUUGUUGUACUUUGUUUCUCUGUUUCUGGUGGUAGAGGAAAAAAAUCAGUCAAUACCUAAAUCCAAACGUGGAUCCAAAUCUUAGAAAAUUAAGUUGCAUCCUCUGAGAUUUUUCUUUUUUCUUCUGUAAAAGGUAAAUAUUAGGAAAAUAUCCUUCUGUAAUUAAGCUAACUGGAGUUCUGUAGAUGGAAAACACAAGAGAGACUUGAGCCAAUGGGAAACUAGUUGCAACAAGUCGCAGUAGGCUUUGUAUUUGUUCCUCGAAGUGCAAAACACAGCUAUUAGUUGCCUGUAAAUGGAAACAGAACUUGUGACAGGGAGUUAAAAUCAUCAGCUAAUUCACAGGUCACUUUAAGACCAAUUUUAAGGGUAAACAGGACUCACGGGCUCAGAGAUGUCUCCAGAAUAGUGAACAAUUUAUUCUGAGCUCUGAUUUUCAGGAGAGAAAGAUGCAGCAAGCAGGUUCUUUAUGGUAAUAUGUAUUUUAUGUUUCCUAUGGUAUAUGAAACACGAGAUUCUUUAUUAUUUUGAAUUAUUGAACAUCAUUUAAAUUCAUAUGGAAACAAAGAUUAUUUCCCAAAGCAUUUAUUUUCUGAGCUGACUGAGCCAUUUCUCUUGACAUGUAUCAAGCUGAUUGAAAGAGAACAUUGAAAAUGAAACCUCUGCAAUUUCAUAUACCAAGAUUAGAGGCAGAACAAAUAAUGCAAUGCAAUGUAAUCAAAAUUAGAAGAGAUUUUCACCUGAGACUAGGCCAGCAGAUGGCAAAUAUAGUUCAAUGUAGAGAAAUGUAAGAUAAUUAAAGUUGAAGUUAGGAACUAAUCUGGGGGAUACAUGCUAAAUGGAGCAAUCAUCCAGCACGGUGAUCAAGAAAAAGAUUUGGGGAUUAUUCUGGAAGAAAUUAUUGAAACCACGAUCCUGUUGAACAGUAUCAGUAAAAUAGACAAAUUUCAUAUUUGGUUGUAAAACAAAGUGUGAAGAUAUAAGAUCGAGGAAGGGGAUAGCAGACACUGCUGAAGCUACUGAAAUUCACUGGCCUCAUCAGGGCAGAGGAGAGGUGGAGGAUCACCUCCCUUAUCUUGCUGGCAAUGCUAUUCCUAAUGUACUCCAGGUUGCCAUUGGCCAUGUCAGCCAUGAAGGCACACUUCUGGCUCAGGGUCAGCACAGUGCAAUAUGUUUAUUAAAAUGAGAGCAAACUGCCCUAGUCUCCUUUGAUUACUGUCUUUUAAAUUUAUUCUCACAUCCAGACAAGGGGGAUGUUUUUGCAGUGAUAUGAACUGUCGGAAAAAGCAUUGUGCUUGCUGACAUUUUCCAUUCAUGAUCCUGUGAAUAAGGACUUCAGUGAUGUGUCUGUUCUUUUGAUGUUUUUUGAGGAGCUGGAUCUAAAGUUCAUUAUACUCUGAAAGAAUAUUUGCACUGAUGUGCCAUGAGUAGAUUGAUCAUAUGUGUUUGUUUGUUCCAGCUGCUGGGGGAAAUUUGUACGCUGCUAGAAAACUAUUUAUGUGCAUGGUUUAAGGCACCUCUGGAAGUCUGAUCAUGUAUGAAUUUCUACUUGAGACUCUCCUCCCGUGUAACUUCAUGAUUGUUAUACAGACUGUUGUUCUCAGGUUUUUGUGGAGGCAACCUGAUAUGAUUUUUCAAUGUUUCUGUUAAAUACCUGUAACAAAACCCUCUAGAGCAUCAGGGACUGGAGGAAUUUACAGAUUGAAUUUGAGAGCCUCUCAGCAAAAGAUUCCAUGAUUUCUUUAAAAUGUUGCACCUUAUUUUACCUGAUUGCUCAAGUAGCUAUUUAUAUUCCCAAGACUUUGCCACAGGUGUAUUUAUGAAAACUUUAAAGCUUAUCUGAAAAUAAGAAUAAUUGCUGACGGGGUACAUGCAAAAACUCAUUCUGUCUGAAGUAGUUCUACACUCUUAGUAGGUUCUCUUUUGAGAACCUACUAAGUGUGGUGGUUGGUACCAGGUUUUGGUUUUGUACUGUAUUAAGCAACUUUUUUGUCUUUGUCUGACCCUCAGUUGUCUCUGAUUACAGAACAGCACUCUGUAUCUGAGCAAACUGAACUACACAAAUAUUCUGAGAGGAAGGACAGAACAGUUCAAAGUUCUUCCAGAGAGAUCAUGUGCCAGAAACUGCAAGAACACUCAGAAAUUUUAAAUGGCACUUCAUUGUUUAAUAUAUAAACACGGGAAGAAGGAAAACAGUCAUAGAAGUCUUAUAUAAAAUAACAUCUUGCUUGACUCUGUUGGUAUAUCUAGCUAGUUUUCAGUUAACUCACACAGAGGAAGCCAAGUGUAAAACUGCCCUCCAUCUAAAAAUAAGCACAAUUGAUAGUUGUUUCAACAGUACCUGAGCAAAAGGAGAAAAUUCUGCUGAGUUUGUCUUGCAUGAAGAAGAAACCCAACCAUGCGUUUUAAUACUGCAAUUAUACUGCGGGAUGGGUGAAUUCUUCAGUGUGUCCUGGGGAUCCUGAAAGGUCUGGUGAAGGAACUGAAGUGUUCUUUUGCUGAUGUCCUCCACCAUACGGUCCUGGACCUCUCUCCUGCUGAGGCCAAGAUGACCACUGAAAUCAGCAAGAUCCUUUCUGCUGACUUUGCUGAAACUGGAAUCAUGCUAUUAAUAGAUAAUGUAAUGUUGUGAGAAAAACUUCAGUAUAUCAGGAAGAACAGCUUAAACAUUUGAAAACUUGUGUUUCUGCUUAAACCCAUCGGUAAACUGAAACUAUUGGUAGUUACAAGGAGUAGGGCAAAAUGAACCCUAUGUAAACACCCAGAAAUACGCAAGUAAAUGGAGAUCUUUGCAUUCUUGAACACCUGCAAGCAGCAAAAACAUCUAUGAAAGGACUCGAGUGUGAGCACACAGCUCUUAGCGUUGGAACUUUUUCCAAUGCAGUCUGGCUUUCUGAAGGGGUAGAAGUUGCAAGUAUUGUUGUUAGUAGUAAUUGCAUGGUAGACUGUUCAGCUGGAAAUCUUUUUGCCCUGAGCUUCUAAUUGGACAUCUAGAGGUGGCUUUCCUCUAUUAUGUGUUCUCCUGUCACAUGUCCUGUCAGCUUACGCUAGAAAGUGUCCCUUCUGGUAGACAACAAGCUCAAGGCUUGUAAAGUAAACACAAUCAAUACUAACGUUAUGGUAUUCCACAAGUCAACUCCCUUCAUUCGGAACUGCUUCUUGUCUCCCUGACCUGCUCUGUAACCUGGAAAUGUCCCAUGAGAAGGACAUCUUGGAAAUGGGCCUAUGCUCUUUGGCAAUCUUUGCUGGAUUUUGCUGAAGCAGAAGGCUCUCAGAAUGAAAGGAGAGCUCAAGAAGUCCCUGUAACACCUUUGGAUGAAAUGGAUUCUGAAAACAAAAUAGGACAAAAUUGUUAUGAGAAGACAAAGUAAGAAGCCCAUCUGUCACCAGAUAGGAUUUCCUUCGCUUACAUCUGAGAGAAAACUUUGGCUUUCUGGAGGUCUGGCUGGGAGUUGGAAGAACAAAAGCACAUCAGAGUAAAGCCCACAACAAAUAUUUAAUUCAGUAUUUUAUAUUGGGAUGAGCAGAAAGGAUGGUGACUCUUAAACUGCAAAACUUCAGACUGGAUCAAGUGCAAAGAUGCUGAUUUAAGCACUGACUGAAAGCUUUGCCUGUUCUGAUGACUCUGAAAAAAAUCUCUAAAUAAAAAAACACAUAUAUUUCA